UGCCGUGAGGUGUUGGGUUAAGUCCCGCAACGAGCGCAACCCCUAUCACUAGUUGCCAUCAGGUAACGCUGGGAACUCUAGUGAAACUGCCGUCGCAAGACGCGAGGAAGGAGGGGAUGAUGUCAAGUCAUCAUGGCCUUUAUGCCCUGGGCUACACACGUGCUACAAUGGGCGCAACAAAGGGCUGCAACACAGCGAUGUGAAGCUAAUCCCAAAAAAGCGCUCUCAGUUCAGAUUGCAGUCUGCAACUCGACUGCAUGAAGCUGGAAUCGCUAGUAAUCGUAUAUCAGCAAUGAUACGGUGAAUACGUUCCCGGACCUUGCACACACCGCCCGUCAAGCCAUGGAAGCCGGGUGUACCUAAAGUCGGUAACCGCAAGGAGCCGCCUAGGGUAAAACUGGUGACUGGGGCUAAGUCGUAACAAGGUAAG
This 430-nucleotide ribosomal RNA is filed under the name uncultured Bacteroidota bacterium. Its description in RNAcentral is "bacterial SSU rRNA". It matches the Rfam family "Bacterial small subunit ribosomal RNA", at positions 1063 to 1500 of the family's 1533-position model. The record is from RNAcentral. Lineage: Bacteria; Pseudomonadati; Bacteroidota.